UACGCAGGGUGCAAGCGUUACUCGGAAUUACUGGGCGUAAAGCGUGCGUAGGUGGUCUGUUAAGUCUGUUGUGAAAGCCCCGGGCUCAACCUGGGAAUGGCAAUGGAUACUGGCAAGCUAGAGUGCGGUAGAGGGUAGUGGAAUUCCCGGUGUAGCGGUGAAAUGCGUAGAGAUCGGGAGGAACACCAGUGGCGAAGACGGCUACCUGGACCAGCACUGACACUGAGGCACGAAAGCGUGGGGAGCAAACAGG
RNAcentral lists this ribosomal RNA (253 nucleotides) under uncultured bacterium. RNAcentral's name for it is "partial 16S ribosomal RNA". It matches the Rfam family "Bacterial small subunit ribosomal RNA", at positions 524 to 776 of the family's 1533-position model. The record is from RNAcentral.